This is a long non-coding RNA of Choloepus didactylus (southern two-toed sloth), 414 nucleotides long. RefSeq lists it as uncharacterized. The transcript has 3 exons. The record is from RefSeq and is a predicted model, not a curated record. NCBI's taxonomy places the organism in Eukaryota, Metazoa, Chordata, Mammalia, Pilosa, Megalonychidae.
CUUGUCAAACCCUCAGAAUAUCUGCUGGAUGCCCAGAGAAGCUAACGCCUCACGGUGUCCUUACUGCGGCCUCCUGAUAGAUUAUUUUAUGGAGAAGUUCCUUUCAAUAGAAGAUUACUAAUAUUUUAUAACACUUCCAUAAGCAAAGUGUGAAGAACCAAACACAGCAAAUGAAUCAAAACUAGAAUUGUGAAGACAAGAGUGUCCCUGGGAAGCUGCCAUUAGCCUGAGUUCCUGGAUGACUUCAUGGAGCAGAGCUGUCCACUUCCCUGAAAUGCUGACCUUGGGGCUGUUACCUGAGAGAAGAAUAAAUUUCUUUUUCUUUCAAGCUAUGUUAUUCUUGAUGUCUUCUUGUAGUACUUAGCCACUUGCUUUAUCUAAUGUGGCUCUGAAUUUUGGUUUAACAUCUGGAGU